GGCUGCAGGCGGCUGUGGAGCUGAGCGAGUCUGGCAGUGGCCUCUACACCCCCGGGGGGUCCCUGAGCCUCCUCUGCAAGGCCUCAGGCUUCACCUUCAGCGACUAUGGCAUGGGAUGGGUGAGGCAGGCCCCAGGCAAGGGCCUGGAGUGGGUGGCAGGGAUCUGGAGCAGUGGUGGCACCAGGUACUCGCCCUCGGUGCGAGGCCGCUGCAGCCUCUCCAGGGACAACUCCCAGGCCAGCCUCAGGCUGCAGCUCAGCAGCCUCCAGGAGGCUGAUUCGGGCACCUACUACUGUGCCAAGAGUGCCUACAGUGGUGGUUAUGCUGCUGGUGCGGAUGGCAUCGAUGCCAAGCCCCUGCCCAGUGCCAACCUCCUGCCCUGA
This is a non-coding RNA of Pogoniulus pusillus (Red-fronted tinkerbird), 383 nucleotides long. Lineage: Eukaryota; Metazoa; Chordata; Aves; Piciformes; Lybiidae. The record is from the annotation of a RefSeq genome assembly.